RNAcentral lists this ribosomal RNA (501 nucleotides) under uncultured bacterium. Its description in RNAcentral is "partial 16S ribosomal RNA". It matches the Rfam family "Bacterial small subunit ribosomal RNA", at positions 30 to 523 of the family's 1533-position model. The record is from RNAcentral.
AUUGAACGCUGGCGGCAGGCUUAACACAUGCAAGUCGAGCGGGGGAAGGUAGCUUGCUACCGGACCUAGCGGCGGACGGGUGAGUAAUGCUUAGGAAUCUGCCUAUUAGUGGGGGACAACAUCUCGAAAGGGAUGCUAAUACCGCAUACGUCCUACGGGAGAAAGCAGGGGAUCUUCGUACCUUGCGCUAAUAGAUGAGCCUAAGUCGGAUUAGCUAGUUGGUGGGGUAAAGGCCUACCAAGGCGACGAUCUGUAGCGGGUCUGAGAGGAUGAUCCGGCAAACUGGGAAUGGCACACGGCCCAGAUUCCUACGGGAGGCAGCAGUGGGGAAGAUUGGACAAUGGGGGGAACCCUGAUCCAGCCAUGCCGGGGGUGUGAAGAAGGCCUUAUGGUUGUAAAGCACUUUAAGCGAGGAGGAGGCUACUUUAGUUAAUACCUAGAGAUAGUGGACGUUACUCGCAGAAUAAGCACCGGCUAACUCUGUGCCAGCCGCCGCCGUAA